This 201-nucleotide long non-coding RNA is filed under the name Hordeum vulgare. RNAcentral describes it as "long non-coding RNA (HVUL_LNC010645)". The record is from RNAcentral. Lineage: Eukaryota; Viridiplantae; Streptophyta; Magnoliopsida; Poales; Poaceae.
CCUGGGAACGGCGGCCAGCAGGAAGCUGGGCGGCGAGGUGCCUGGACGGCAGGAAUCUGGGCGGUUAGGAGGAGAUCGUGGGCAGGAGGAGAAGCUGGGCGAGGUGCCGAGGUGGGCAGGGGGAGAUCUGGGCGAGGUGGGUGGCGACGAGCUGGGCGAGGUGGGCGGAGACGAGCUUACGAAGGGGCUGUUUAUUUCCCA